AGCCCUCAUCUCCUCUGGAGGUGUAUGUGCCCAGCACAGCCUGGCUACCAGUGCUGCUUCUUUGGGCAGGUCUCCUUGAGGCUCAGAUAAUCCCCUUGCUUUUCAGCAAAUUCUCAGAGUCCAGGCAGUACCAUGUGACCAUCUCCUCUCUCCUCUGCCAUCUUGCCUACCAAUGGGAAGAACUCUUGCUGGGCUUUGCAAGGGAGCAGGUGCUACUGCUCCCUGCUCCUUCCUAUCUCUUUUGGUCAAGAAUGCAGACCAUGAACAUAACACCUUCGUUCUUGUUCCUUGGACCAGUCAUCCAGGGCACGUGGACCCUCCCAGUGGCACACUGUGCCAGCCCAAGGGCUACCACAGGCGACUUCAAAAUGAGCAGGUUCCUUGCAGGGAGAUGUGCAGUACAGUGUCACACCACCAGGGGGCGCUGCCCAGCUGGUAUCUUUCUCCUUCACGCUCUGCCGGGUUU
Molecule: long non-coding RNA, 466 nt
Organism: Nyctereutes procyonoides (raccoon dog)
Lineage: Eukaryota; Metazoa; Chordata; Mammalia; Carnivora; Canidae
Exons: 3
Source: RefSeq, a predicted model, not a curated record